RNAcentral lists this ribosomal RNA (245 nucleotides) under uncultured Lachnospiraceae bacterium. RNAcentral describes it as "partial 16S ribosomal RNA". It matches the Rfam family "Bacterial small subunit ribosomal RNA", at positions 524 to 768 of the family's 1533-position model. Lineage: Bacteria; Bacillati; Bacillota; Clostridia; Lachnospirales; Lachnospiraceae. The record is from RNAcentral.
UACGUAGGGGGCGAGCGUUAUCCGGAUUUACUGGGUGUAAAGGGAGCGUAGACGGUAAGGCAAGUUUGAAGUGAAAUCCCAUGGCUUAACCAUGGAACUGCUUUGAAAACUGUUUAACUAGAGUACUGGAGAGGUAAGUGGAAUUCCUAGUGUAGUAGUGAAAUGCGUAGAUAUUAGGAGGAACACCGGAGGCGAAGGCGGCUUACUGGACAGAAACUGACGUUGAGGCUCGAAAGCGUGGGUAG